This 165-nucleotide ribosomal RNA is filed under the name Alyssum fastigiatum. RNAcentral's name for it is "5.8S ribosomal RNA". It matches the Rfam family "5.8S ribosomal RNA". From Rfam's summary of the family: 5.8S ribosomal RNA (5.8S rRNA) is a component of the large subunit of the eukaryotic ribosome. It is transcribed by RNA polymerase I as part of the 45S precursor that also contains 18S and 28S rRNA. Lineage: Eukaryota; Viridiplantae; Streptophyta; Magnoliopsida; Brassicales; Brassicaceae. The record is from RNAcentral.
AAAACGACUCUCGGCAACGGAUAUCUCGGCUCUCACAUCGAUGAAGAACGUAGCGAAAUGCGAUACUUGGUGUGAAUUGCAGAAUCCCGUGAACCAUCGAGUCUUUGAACGCAAGUUGCGCCCUAAGCCUUCUGGCCGAGGGCACGUCUGCCUGGGCGUCACAAA